Molecule: long non-coding RNA, 461 nt
Organism: Pelodiscus sinensis (Chinese soft-shelled turtle)
Lineage: Eukaryota; Metazoa; Chordata; Testudines; Trionychidae
Source: RefSeq, a predicted model, not a curated record
CAGAUAAACACCACUUUGUGUGUGAUCAGUGUUUAUUGUGUGAAACCUGUAAGCCACAAGCUCUACGCGUGUACUUGAGUGUUGGUCUGCCUGUGGAUGCCAUACUUUCUCCUGUACAGACUAACUCGGCUGCCCCUGGAAGCUUCAAAUACAACCGUAUCGCAUGGUGGCUGCAGAGAGGUUAAAAGACGAGCGAUGACGUCCAGGACAGCAAACCCCCUCCUGGCAGCAGCCGCUCUAGUCGAAUAUGCCGGAAGAAGUGAGCUCGGUGGAAAAGAUAAUAAAGGCCCAGGCCUGAGCUCCUUGGGGACAAAGGAGAACAAGCUGGACUAAAGAGUGCCGGAUGUGGGAGGUUCAACCUAUACUAAUUAAUCAGAAUGAGAAUGAGAAUGGAAUAGUGACCAAUAGCUGGUUUGCACUGCUCAGUAUUUGCCGUUUCUCUGUUUAUUUACAUUCAUGAC